RNAcentral lists this non-coding RNA (30 nucleotides) under Mus musculus (house mouse). Lineage: Eukaryota; Metazoa; Chordata; Mammalia; Rodentia; Muridae. The record is from RNAcentral.
UGAAUAACUGGCCUCUACCUCCCUUGAGCU